This 30-nucleotide non-coding RNA is filed under the name Rattus norvegicus (Norway rat). Lineage: Eukaryota; Metazoa; Chordata; Mammalia; Rodentia; Muridae. The record is from RNAcentral.
UGCAAUGGGUUCUUUUAUGGAGAAGAGGUA